RNAcentral lists this ribosomal RNA (274 nucleotides) under uncultured bacterium. RNAcentral describes it as "partial 16S ribosomal RNA". It matches the Rfam family "Bacterial small subunit ribosomal RNA", at positions 523 to 796 of the family's 1533-position model. The record is from RNAcentral.
AUACGGAGGGGGCAAGCGUUGUUCGGAAUUACUGGGCGUAAAGCGCGCGUAGGCGGUCCGUUUAGUUAGGCGUGAAAGGCCUGGGCUCAACCCGGGAACUGCGUUUAAAACUGGCGGGCUAGAGUCCGGGAGAGGGUGGCGGAAUUCCCAGUGUAGAGGUGAAAUUCGUAGAUAUUGGGAAGAACACCAGUGGCGAAGGCGGCCACCUGGCCCGGUACUGACGCUGAGGUGCGAAAGCGUGGGGAGCAAACAGGAUUAGAUACCCCGGUAGUCC